This is a long non-coding RNA of Stylophora pistillata, 1090 nucleotides long. RefSeq lists it as uncharacterized. The record is from RefSeq and is a predicted model, not a curated record. Lineage: Eukaryota; Metazoa; Cnidaria; Anthozoa; Scleractinia; Pocilloporidae.
CUGUUGGAGUGUAAAAUAUCUUGGGGCUUGGUAUAUCUGGUAUCAUGGAAAUGAAGACGAACGGAACAUUUACUGGGAAGAAAUAUAUUCUGUGCUUUAUAUUCCAUUCGAAACCUGAGCGGGACAAACCAAGCUAGGCGGCUCAAUAAUAAUUUCAGACUAAACCGUGAGCAUAAACGAUGAGAUGAAAGAGUCUCAACAAAGAGAGGAGGGGACUUUGGAAUUCUUAAGUGAUUGGUCAGCGCAAGGUGGGAAAACGGAUCGCUCCAGUUCUCUUUGUCGGAGCUUUCAUAUACUGCCUGUAUGGACCCUCGAAAUUGAGGUAAUAACCUUAUGUAGCCUCAUGACGUAACAUACUGUGACUGACGGAUGAAACAUAUAGCAAAGAUUCCACCGCAAAGACUCUCGGGAACAACCCAUGAUCAAAGCCCUGACGACGUCUCUUCAGUACCUGACAAACACCUUGGACUGACUUGACAUCUAGAACGACUGACAUACACACGGACUGUUAUGUCUGGUUGGUUAAUGCACAGUCAACGAGACGCUGAAACACUGUGAAAACGCAGAUACGUAUAACACUUCUUACUUAUUCCGACGCGAACUAAGACGCCCGCGGGAAAUUGCCUGAGGAAAAGGACUGGAGGGAGUGGGAGUUGUGUUUGUAAAUCUAAAACAUUUGGUCUAAAAUUUCCAAAUUAUUUAAUUUUUUUCUGAAACUUUGCAUCUUUGGUCUAAACAACGCAAUUAUUGCUGUCAUUUUAAUUUUCAUCACACUUCGUAAAAAAAAGUUUUGAUUUGGGAAGACUUUAAGUGUCGUAGAGAGGUAGAUGGCUUUAUGACAUAAUCUAAGUGUCGAAAAGCCUUUGAGCAAUUCUAUCACCAAGGCAAAAUUCUUUAGCCACAAAAUUCAUUUUCUUCAGCAUCAAGAAGCAGCUAUGAUAUCGAAACUGAUACGGCUACCACAUUCAUCAAAAUUAUUCAAACUUUUAAAAGCAUCUAAAUUUUUGAGGUCAGGGAAAAGAGUAUGAUCACAUCACCACUGCAGCUGAUGUUCACAACAUUUGAUAUAGAGGAUAUUACAUGGCCGCUU